AGUGAACGCUGGCGGUAGGCUUAACACAUGCAAGUCGAACGGCAGCACAGUAAGAGCUUGCUCUUAUGGGUGGCGGGUGGCGGACGGGAGAGGAAUAUAUCGGAAUCUACUUUUUCGUGGGGGAUCACGUAGGGAAACUUACGAUCAUAUCGCAUAUGACCUACGGGUGAAAGCAGGGGAUCUUCGGAGCCUGCGCGUGUGAAUGAGCCGGUGGCUGAUUAGUUAGUUGGUGGGGUAGAGGCCCACAAAGGCGAUGAUGGGUAGCUGGCCUGAGAGGGUGACCGGCCACAUUGGGACUGAGAUACGGCCCAGACUGCUACGGGAGGCAGCAGUGGGGAAUAUUGCACAAUGGGCGGAAGACUGAUGCAGCAACGCCGCGUGCGGGAUGACGGCCUUCGGGUGGUAAACAGCUUUCGCCUGUGACGAAGCGUGAGUGACGGUAAUGGGGAAAGAAGCACCGGCUAACUACGU
Molecule: ribosomal RNA, 471 nt
Filed under: uncultured bacterium
Lineage: Bacteria
Description: partial 16S ribosomal RNA
Rfam family: Bacterial small subunit ribosomal RNA
Source: RNAcentral